Molecule: ribosomal RNA, 241 nt
Filed under: uncultured bacterium
Lineage: Bacteria
Description: partial 16S ribosomal RNA
Rfam family: Bacterial small subunit ribosomal RNA
Source: RNAcentral
AGUGGCGGACGGGUGAGUAACGCGUGGGUAACCUGCCUCAUACAGGGGGAUAACAGUUAGAAAUAGACUGCUAAUACCGCAUAAGACCACAGCACCGCAUGGUGCAGGGGUAAAAACUCCGGUGGUAUGAGAUGGACCCGCGUCUGAUUAGGUAGUUGGUGGGGUAACGGCCUACCAAGCCGACGAUCAGUAGCCGGCCUGAGAGGGUGAACGGCCACAUUGGGACUGAGACACGGCCCAA